AUCGCUUCUCAGCCUCUUGGCUAAGAUCAAGUGUAGUAUCUGUUCUUAUCAGUUUAAUAUCUGAUUCGCCCUCUACCUGAGGACAAGAUAUUAAAUGGAUUUUUGGAGCAGGGAGAUGGACUAGGAGCUUGCUCCAUCCACUCCUCACAUCGACCCGGUAUUGCAAUACCUCCGGGAACGGUGCAAAAAAA
Small nuclear RNA from Myotis lucifugus (little brown bat), 191 nucleotides. Its record names the gene U2. It matches the Rfam family "U2 spliceosomal RNA". From Rfam's summary of the family: U2 is a small nuclear RNA (snRNA) component of the spliceosome (involved in pre-mRNA splicing). Complementary binding between U2 snRNA (in an area lying towards the 5' end but 3' to hairpin I) and the branchpoint sequence (BPS) of the intron results the bulging out of an unpaired adenosine, on the BPS, which initiates a nucleophilic attack at the intronic 5' splice site, thus starting the first of two transesterification reactions that mediate splicing. The record is from Ensembl. Lineage: Eukaryota; Metazoa; Chordata; Mammalia; Chiroptera; Vespertilionidae.